RNAcentral lists this ribosomal RNA (297 nucleotides) under Triticum aestivum (bread wheat). RNAcentral's name for it is "partial small subunit ribosomal RNA". The record is from RNAcentral. Lineage: Eukaryota; Viridiplantae; Streptophyta; Magnoliopsida; Poales; Poaceae.
AGACUUGCGAAGUGGGAUAUUAUUUGCAGACCUAAAGACCAGGGUGGCUUAGGUAUUGAGAAUUUGGAAAUCAAAAAUAUAUGUCUCCUUAGCAAGUGGCUUUUUAAGUUAUCAUCUGAGACGGAGGCCACUUGGGCACAACUUUUACGCAAUAAGUAUCUCUAUGCUAAAACCUUGGCCCAAGUGUCGGUGAGACCUUCAGAUUCGCCUUUCUGGAAGGGGCUAAUGAGAGUUAAACAAUUAUUUUUCAACAAGACUAAAUUCAUUGUUGGGAAUGGUACCACGACGAGGUUUUGG